GAGGGUGUAGCUCAGUGGUAGAGUGCAUGCUUAGCAUGCACGAGGUCCUGGGUUCAACCCCCAGUACCUCUA
This 72-nucleotide transfer RNA is filed under the name Camelus bactrianus (Bactrian camel). It matches the Rfam family "tRNA". Rfam says of the family: Transfer RNA (tRNA) molecules are approximately 80 nucleotides in length. Their secondary structure includes four short double-helical elements and three loops (D, anti-codon, and T loops). RNAcentral also lists the same sequence under 2 other names. Lineage: Eukaryota; Metazoa; Chordata; Mammalia; Artiodactyla; Camelidae. The record is from Rfam by way of RNAcentral.